AUGCCAUGGACGAUCCCUUCAUUACACCUAGGACCACUGCCUUACGGCUUCUCCGUAAGCAUUACAUCUUUGGAUUCCCCGAGGGCCAAAGAGAACACGGGACCGGAAGCGCUGACUCCCCCCGUGGUAUUUCCAGGGGCGGAGGAAGAUGGCGAAAUCCAUUGGCUAGUGGGAUCAGAAGAGGGCGGUUCACUCGGCCUGUGUCUGGGGCACUAUGGGUAUUGUAGUUCAGGGCUCCGCGGUCCUGCUUGCGGCGAGGAAUCUUGGAAGCCAGUGGGUCCAAGCUGGUCAGGGAAGCGCCUUGCACUGGGGCAUCAGGUUUGAGAUGCUGACUCUUGGCUAUAAGGACAGUAGACCUGACCUGAAUGUGACUCCCAUACCCAAACAAAUGGAAUAUGUUAACUACUUGAUGACCACGAGCACACAGGCCCAGGCCUCCUAGUACUUCUGACUGAUAAUGUUAGCACCUGUGACAUCAUCCUGUUACCUCACCUUCAGCCAGUCAAAGAAUUGUGUUUGAGCUGAUCACAUACCCUGCAACCUCCCUCCCUCACCUGGGUUUUAAAUAUGCUUUACCAAAACGAUUAGGGGAGCUUGUGGCUUUUUAGAGGAUGAGCCACCCAUCUCCUUGCACGGCCCUGAAAUAAACCUUUCUCUUCUCUAAACUCCAAAGUUUAGGUUUUUUUGGACUCACUGUACAUUAGACACAUGAACUUGUACUAAUAAGACAAGGGUUUCCAGUGUGGUCUUCUAGGUUCUCUUAAGCAUCAUGGUUGCCUCAGCUCCUCACAGUUUGUAGCACAAUAAAGCUAAACAACCAGACAACAGACACACUGCUAACGUCCUCCUGUGGCUCAUGACCUGAAUUAGACAAUAAUUUUUUUUUUUUUUUACCUUGUCAUAGCUUCUUAUACACUGUGUUAUGAAUCUACUGCAGCUUUUUGGUUGGUAACCAGAAAUUUUAAAACACAGGCUUAAUGCUCUUUUUAAUAUGGAAUAUGUGCCUCCAUUUUUACAAUUUACAUGUCUAAUGCAAAUCUGGUUUUUAAUAUUUAUAUGUAGCUUUGAAAAAAGCAAAAAAGAUGAUUUUUUUCUACAUAUUUUGCCCAUAUAUCUAAUUUGCAAAUGUGCUUUGAAUGGGAGUGUUGACUUCCUUUGUUAUGAUCAUUUUAACUUCUCAUAAGUUUAAC
This 1190-nucleotide long non-coding RNA is filed under the name Capra hircus (goat). Its description in RNAcentral is "lncRNA (ENSCHIG00000006973.1)". The record is from RNAcentral. Lineage: Eukaryota; Metazoa; Chordata; Mammalia; Artiodactyla; Bovidae.